GACGUAGGGCGUGAGCGUUGUCCGGAUUUAUUGGGCGUAAAGAGCUCGUAGGUGGUUUGUCGCGUUGUUCGUGAAAACUCACAGCUCAACUGUGGGCGUGCGGGCGAUACGGGCAGACUGGAGUACUGCAGGGGAGACUGGAAUUCCUGGUGUAGCGGUGGAAUGCGCAGAUAUCAGGAGGAACACCGGUGGCGAAGGCGGGUCUCUGGGCAGUAACUGACGCUGAGGAGCGAAAGCGUGGGGAGCGAACAGG
RNAcentral lists this ribosomal RNA (253 nucleotides) under uncultured bacterium. RNAcentral's name for it is "partial 16S ribosomal RNA". It matches the Rfam family "Bacterial small subunit ribosomal RNA", at positions 524 to 776 of the family's 1533-position model. The record is from RNAcentral.